RNAcentral lists this ribosomal RNA (279 nucleotides) under uncultured bacterium. RNAcentral's name for it is "partial 16S ribosomal RNA". It matches the Rfam family "Bacterial small subunit ribosomal RNA", at positions 506 to 784 of the family's 1533-position model. The record is from RNAcentral.
UGCCAGCAGCCGCGGUAAUACGGAGGGUGCAAGCGUUGCUCGGAAUUACUGGGCGUAAAGGGUGCGCAGGCGGUCUGUUAAGUCAGAUGUGAAAGCCCAGGGCUCAACCCUGGAACUGCAUCUGAAACUGGCAGACUUGAGGCAGAGAGAGGGAAGUGGAAUUCCUGGUGUAGAGGUGAAAUUCGUUGAUAUCAGGAGGAACACCAGCGGCGAAGGCGGCUUCCUGGCUCUGUUCUGACGCUGAGGCACGAAAGCGUGGGUAGCAAACAGGAUUAGAUA